Long non-coding RNA from Lingula anatina, 345 nucleotides. The record is from RefSeq and is a predicted model, not a curated record. NCBI's taxonomy places the organism in Eukaryota, Metazoa, Brachiopoda, Lingulata, Lingulida, Lingulidae.
CUACAGAGAGGAUGUUGUGGUCAGGCAUGCUAAAUCUGAUACUCACAUCAGAUGCAAUAAAGCAGAGCAAGAAUUACGAGCAGGUAACACUUUACCAAGAGCAAUAGCCCCUUUAGGAGACACUGAGCACUGGGCACUAGAGGGUUGCUUCAGAUUAAUGUACCAGUUGAUGCGGCAAGAAAUUGCACAUCACACCAAUUAUAAACCAUUCCUGGAACUGAUGGUGGCUUGUGGAUGCACCUAUUUUGAAGCUCUAAAGGUUGGUAGUAAUACCAAUUACUGCAGCCGCAGAAUCAUUGAUGAAAUCCUUGAGUUAAUAGACGAGUCCAUUUUACUACCCCUGGC